UCGCUGCUAUUAGGAUUCGAUUUAGCCAUGCAAGUCCGGGGGUUCGCAAGAACACCGGCGGAAUGCUCAGUAACACGUCGAUAAUCUAACCUUUAGUUCAGGAUAACCUUGGGAAACUGAGGCUAAAACUGGAUAAGGGAUUGCAACUGGAAUGUGCUUUCCCUGAAACUACGGGCUAAAGGAUGAGUCGGCGGCCGAUUAGGUUGUUGGUGGUGUAAUGGACCACCAAGCCAUAGAUCGGUAGGGGCCUUGAGAGAGGAAGCCCCGAGAAGGGCACUGAGACACUGGCCCUAGCCCUACGGGGUGCAGCAGGCGCGAAACCUUUACACUACACGAAAGUGUGAUAAGGGAAUCCUAAGUGCUUAUGCAAUGCAUAGGCUUUUGCCAAGAGUAAAUUCUUGGCGAAUAAGUGGUGGGCAAGACUGGUGCCAGCCGCCCGGUAACACCAGCGCCACAAGUGGGGAUCGUGUUUAUUGGGCCUAAAGCGUUCGUAGCCGGUUCAAUCAAUCCUUUGUGAAAUCGAUAGGCUUAACUUAUCGGCAUGCAUAGGACACUGAUGAACUAGGAACUGGGAGGGGUCAGAGGUAUGCUUGGGGGAGCAGUAAAAUGCUAUAAUCCCUUGUGGACCACCUGUGGCGAAGGCGUCUGACCAGCACAGAUUCGACGGUGAGGAACGAAAGCCGGGGGAGCGAUCCGGAUUAGAUACCCGAGUAGUCCCGGCUGUAAACGCUGCGAGCAAGGUGUUACAUAUUCCUCGUGAAUGUGCAGUGUCGAAACGAAGGUGUUAAGCUCGCCGCCUGGGAAGUACGGUCGCAAGACUGAAACUUAAAGGAAUUGGCGGGGGAGCACUACAAGGGGUGCGGCGUGCGGUUUAAUUUAAUUCAACGCAGAGAAUCUCACCAGGAGCGACGGCAGAAUGAAGGCCAGGCUGAAGACCUUGCCUAACAAGCCGAGAGAUGGUGCAUGGCCGCCGUCAGCUCGUGCUGUGAAGUGUCCUGUUAAGUCAGGCAACGAGCGAGACCUGCACUUACAAUUGCUAACGAGCUCUUCGGAGUGAUUGAGCACAUUGUGAGGACUGCCUUGGAAACAAGGAGGAAGGUGCAGGCAACGGUAGGUCUGUAUGCCUCGAAUCCCCUGGGCUACACGCGCGCAACAUUGGUAGGGACAAUGGGAUGCAACUCCGAAAGGAGAAGCUAAACCUCUAAACCCUAUCUUAGUCCAGAUCGAGGGUUGUAACUCACCCUCGUGACGUUGGAAUCCCUAGUAAUCAGACUUCAUCAUAGUCUGGUGAAUAUGUCCCUGCUCCUUGCACACACCGCCCGUCAAACCACUCGAGCAGGGUUUAAGUGAGGUGCAGUUUGAUUGAUUGCAUCGAACUUAAGCUCAGUGAGAUGGGUUAAGUCGUCACAAGGUA
RNAcentral lists this ribosomal RNA (1414 nucleotides) under metagenome. RNAcentral's name for it is "bacterial SSU rRNA". It matches the Rfam family "Archaeal small subunit ribosomal RNA". The record is from RNAcentral.